Molecule: small nuclear RNA, 100 nt
Organism: Amphiprion ocellaris (clown anemonefish)
Lineage: Eukaryota; Metazoa; Chordata; Actinopteri; Pomacentridae
Gene: U2
Rfam family: U2 spliceosomal RNA
About the family: U2 is a small nuclear RNA (snRNA) component of the spliceosome (involved in pre-mRNA splicing). Complementary binding between U2 snRNA (in an area lying towards the 5' end but 3' to hairpin I) and the branchpoint sequence (BPS) of the intron results the bulging out of an unpaired adenosine, on the BPS, which initiates a nucleophilic attack at the intronic 5' splice site, thus starting the first of two transesterification reactions that mediate splicing.
Source: Ensembl
ACUAUUUCUGGACCUUUUUGCUAAGAUCAAGUGUAGUAUCUUUCCUUAUCAGUUUAAUAUCUGAUAUAUCCUCCAUGUCAGGACUACAGAUUUACCCUUA